Molecule: non-coding RNA, 796 nt
Organism: Malus domestica (apple)
Lineage: Eukaryota; Viridiplantae; Streptophyta; Magnoliopsida; Rosales; Rosaceae
Source: RefSeq, a predicted model, not a curated record
UCCUCUCCUCUGUUUCCACAAACUUCAAUGCAAACAUAACAAAACCCAACAUUCAAAAAAUCCUCUAUUUUGUUAAUCACCAUUCUACGCGCCAUUGUCAUUGUUUUAUGAUUACCCAAUUUCCGUUUGUUUCUCGGGAAAAUCACAUUGGAAAGAAACCGUAGGUGUUGUGGGGGUGUGUGUGUGAGGAGUAGAACGUAUGGCGUACAAGGUGGAUCACGAAUACGAUUACCUCUUCAAGAUUGUAUUGAUUGGAGAUUCGGGUGUUGGAAAAUCGAACAUUCUUUCGAGGUUUACGAGGAAUGAGUUUUCUUUGGAGUCUAAGUCCACCAUUGGAGUUGAAUUUGCAACUAGGACAUUGCAGCUUGUGGAUGUUUAGGGUAUAGUACCAGUGUUGCCCUGCGUUAUCAUCCAGUUUACGUCCGUGCCAUGGACAAUCUAGACAGAACACUGCCAUUCUGCAGAAUAUUGUUUGGUGACAUUUGGAUCUAAAAUCUACCCAACCUUACCGUGUUACAAUACCAACUUAGCCGAUUUCAAGAUAUAAUUGAGUUGUUAGAGGUAGAGCUCUGCGCAAGGCUUCUCUUGUUGUGAGGCUAAAGCUUACCUUUCUCUUUAGUGUAGAUAAUAUUGUUUGUUAAAAAAAAAAAACUUAGUUCAAUCAAUUGGCAUUGAAGUUUAUCUAUGUGACGAUUACACCACCACGCAGGUAGACUUUUCCAAACACGUUAAUUACCAUUGUCUCAAGCUAUGUUGUAUUUUUCACAAUACUCACUAUGAAAAGGUAUAUUCUAUA